GCAAGACGACACAGACGGCGACGGCUCUCAGCAAAUCAAACCAACCCACCAAACACCAAAAAUCCCCGCACGAGCUCCGAUUUCAAAUUCCCCCGGCAGAGCUCGCCGCCGGAGAUGGAGGCGGCGCGGGAGUCCAUGGCGGCCCUCCUCGACGCCGGCCUUUUCGCCUCCGCCCAAACCCUGGGUAGUUUCCUUGUGUCGUCAUCUGGUGCGAGCAACGAUGCUGGCAUGUCCAUGAAGGCGGAAAGCCUGGUCCUGCAUGGUGAUGCUUUGUAUGGAGAGAAAGAGUUCCGUAGGGCACUGAAUGCAUACAAGCAAGCUAUGCAAUGUAGCAGAAGUAUCCCUAGGCAAGCAACAAGUAACAUCAGAAGCUCAGUGUCUGCCACAGGCCGGUCGCCUUCUCCAAAUUCUUCGAAUCUCUUACCAUUCAACGAAAACGAGGUGAAGUUCAAGAUUGCACUUUGCCAUUCUGCUCUAUGUGAGCACCGUGAAGCACUUCAAGAGAUGGAGGGUAUUCCUUCUAAAGUGAGAACGCUGAAAAUGAAUCUGAUGUUAGGGAAGCUUUAUCGAAUAUCAAGAAAUAGCCGUUCAGCUGUUGUCUGUUAUAAAGAGUGCUUGAGGCACUGCCCUUAUGUUUUUGAAGCUAUUACAGCUUUGGCGGAAAUGGGGCUUUCUGCAAAGGAAUUUUCUUUAUUAUUUUCACAAGCACCAAAUAGAGGAGGCAAGCUUCCAAGUGACUCUUUAGAUGCACAACGAUGGUGGAAUUGGUAUGUUGAGGCGCAGUGUUGCAUUGCUUCACAUGAUUAUAAAGGUGGCCUUGACAUAUAUCUAGAACUAAUGCAACGAUUCCCCAAUAAUGUGCAUAUCCUGCUGGAAAUUGCAAAGGUUGAAGCGAUCAUAGGCAGGAAUGAUGAAGCAAUAAUGAACUUUGAGAAGGCUCGGUUGAUUGACCCAAACAUUAUGACAUAUAUGGAUGAGUAUGCAAUUCUCCUAAAAACAAAAUUUGACUAUAUCAAACUGAACAAGCUGGUACAUGAUAUGCUGCAUAUUGACCCCGCAAGACCAGAGACAUGUGUUGCUCUUGCAGCAAUGUGGGAAAGAAAAGAUGAAAGAAAAGCUUUGACAUAUGCAGAAAAGAGCCUUCGAGUUGAUGAUAGGCAUAUAACUGGUUAUAUUAUGAAGGGCAAUCUGCAUCUUUCAUUGAACCGGCCAGAUAUGGCAGUGACCGACUUCAGAGGAGCUCAAGAAUUGAGGGCUGAUCUUCGUUCUUAUCAAGGUUUAGUGCGUGCUUAUCUAGCACUUGCUAAAUGCAAAGAUGCAUUAUUCACUGCACGUGAGGCAAUGAAGGUUAUGCAUCAGUCUGCAAAAGCUCUCAAGCUAGUUGGUGAUGUUCAUGCAAUCAGUUCCAGUGGGAGAGAGAAGAUGUUGGUGAAGUGUUACGCAAGGACUGCUUUCAGAUGUUGCCCCAUGUUUUUAAUAUUUUACCGUGUAAUUCCUUGGCAAGAAAGUUCUAUGAAUCUGCCAUUCGUCUUGAACCUGGAUUUCUAGGAGCUGCACUGGCCCUGGCUGAUCUGCAUGUUGCGGAAGGACGUAACAGGGAGGCUGUUACUCUACUCGAGAGAUAUGUACGACAAUGGGCUGAUGAUUCUGUAAACAUCAAGCUGGCUCAAGUUUAUGCAGCAACAAACAUGCUUAAUGAUGCACUUUUCCAUUAUCAAUGUGCAUUAAGGAUAAACCCACAAAAUGAGGCUGCAAAGAAAGGAUUGGAGCGUUUGGAGAAACAAAUGAAGGGAGUAGACCCAGAUGCACCUGAAGAGGAUGAAGAUAACGAGGCCGAUGACAUUGACGCUGACCAAGAUGAUGCUGAGCUGCUAUAGAGAAACAUUGUGAGCUCGAGAAGAUCACCACGGCAACUCUUGGUUCCAAAGAGCAACGUCUGGUUGCACAAUCCUCUCAUCAGUCAACAGGCAUGGCAACCGGACCCACGGCUGUGCAAGUUAGAUUAGGAGGAGCUCCAGACUUGCUGUGCUCUGCCGUUUUAGCCAACUUUCGUGGUAAGAAAAAAAAUGCACGGCGAUUGCACGAUGAAGGCUGUAAGCUACUAGGGUCCAGGCUGUACACAUCAAAAUUGUUGUCCUCUUUAGGUCUUGUUUGGAUAAACACAUUCCCUCCCAUUACGUAUGGAUUGGAGGUGAUUUAUAUGUAUCCAAACAAGGCCUUAGAUUGUUGUGCAUUCUGAAUGUCUCGUGGAUUGCUCUGCAGGAAGAGUUGCUGCUACGAUCAAUUGUUGCUUGUAGGUACUUGCAGUUACAUAAGCUUCUGCAGCCUGCAUAGAAACAAUAUUAGCAUGAUAUCAGUUGAACAAGUUUUUCUGUUGAUGAACACGCACAAUAUUAUAUUU
Molecule: RNA transcript, 2401 nt
Organism: Panicum virgatum (switchgrass)
Lineage: Eukaryota; Viridiplantae; Streptophyta; Magnoliopsida; Poales; Poaceae
Gene name: anaphase-promoting complex subunit 7-like
Exons: 19
Source: RefSeq, a predicted model, not a curated record